This 609-nucleotide ribosomal RNA is filed under the name Triticum aestivum (bread wheat). Its description in RNAcentral is "partial small subunit ribosomal RNA". Lineage: Eukaryota; Viridiplantae; Streptophyta; Magnoliopsida; Poales; Poaceae. The record is from RNAcentral.
AUGUACAGAGAAUACAGAUCUAUUUAUGGGUCAUCCAUCGCCCGUGUUUAUUCCUCGGAGACUAACACAUGGAGCAGUCUCAUCUCUAUAGAGGCUUCACAUAAUAAGUGUGUUUAUUUUGGUCCUAGCACCCUUGUUCGUAAUGUCCUUUACUGGCCUUCACACAAUUGGGGAGACAACAUACUUGAGUUUGAUUUGGACACGCAAAACCUUACCGUGAUAAAGGGGCCUCCUGGUGUGAAUUAUUCCGACAACUUCCAGAUCAUCCAGGCAGAAGGUGGUGCCGUUGGUAUUGCCGUGUUGUCCUACAAUACCCUUCAACUAUGGCAGCGAACGGUUAAUCAUCGAGGUGAUGCCAUAUGGUUGUCGUGCAAGAUUGUUCUAUUGCGCAACCUUAUUAACAUCCCUCCUCGAACUGGGAGAAAGAGGGAAUGUCUUCGAUUGGUGGGGUAUGAUGAGGCUACCGAUGUAAUCUUUUUAGGUAUCCGCGACAGUGUCUAUAUGGUUCAACCCAAGUCAAUGCAAACCAGGCAACUAAAUGUGACCCAUUCUCCAAAUUAUUGUUACCCAUUCACAAGUUUCUUUCCACCAGGUUACUUGCAGAAGUGA